Molecule: ribosomal RNA, 497 nt
Filed under: uncultured bacterium
Lineage: Bacteria
Description: partial 16S ribosomal RNA
Rfam family: Bacterial small subunit ribosomal RNA
Source: RNAcentral
GACGAACGCUGGCGGCGUGCCUAAUACAUGCAAGUUGAGCGCUGAAGGUUGGUACUUGUCCCAACUGGAUGAGCAGCGAACGGGUGAGUAACGCGUGGGGAAUCUGCCUUUGAGCGGGGGGCAACAUUUGGAAACGAAUGCUAAUACCGCAUAAAAACUUUAAACACAAGUUUUAAGUUUGAAAGAUGCAAUUGCAUCACUCAAAGAUGAUCCCGCGUUGUAUUAGCUAGUUGGUGAGGUAAAGGCUCACCAAGGCGAUGAUACAUAGCCGACCUGAGAGGGUGAUCGGCCACAUUGGGACUGAGACACGGCCCAAACUCCUACGGGAGGCAGCAGUAGGGAAUCUUCGGCAAUGGACGAAAGUCUGACCGAGCAACGCCGCGUGAGUGAAGAAGGUUUUCGGAUCGUAAAACUCUGUUGGUAGAGAAGAACGCUGGUGAGAGUGGAAAGCUCAUCAAGUGACGGUAACUACCCAGAAAGGGACGGCUAACUACGUG